Molecule: small RNA, 103 nt
Filed under: Salmonella enterica
Lineage: Bacteria; Pseudomonadati; Pseudomonadota; Gammaproteobacteria; Enterobacterales; Enterobacteriaceae
Also listed under: 2 other names
Description: partial RtT sRNA
Rfam family: RtT RNA
About the family: This family represents a bacterial cis-regulatory element known as RtT RNA.
Source: RNAcentral
UGUAUCGGAAGCCUGACGAGGAUGAGAACCUCCGGGGGCAAGAGGUUCGACUCGAGCGCAGCGAGAGAACGUUGCGUCAGCAACGGCCCGCAGGGCGAGCCAC